This 235-nucleotide ribosomal RNA is filed under the name uncultured Candidatus Saccharibacteria bacterium. RNAcentral's name for it is "partial 16S ribosomal RNA". It matches the Rfam family "Bacterial small subunit ribosomal RNA", at positions 584 to 818 of the family's 1533-position model. Lineage: Bacteria; Candidatus Saccharimonadota. The record is from RNAcentral.
UAAGUUGAUAGUGAAAGCGUGCGGCUCAACCGCAUACACAUUAUCAAAACUGCAAAGCUAGAGGACGAGAGAGGUUAUUGGAAUUCCUAGUGUAGGAGUGAAAUCCGUAGAUAUUAGGAGGAACACCGAUGGCGUAGGCAGAUAACUGGCUCGUUCCUGACACUAAGGCACGAAAGCGUGGGUAGCAAACGGGAUUAGAUACCCCGGUAGUCCGCGCCGUAAACGAUGGAUACUA